Molecule: ribosomal RNA, 1459 nt
Filed under: metagenome
Description: bacterial LSU rRNA
Rfam family: Bacterial large subunit ribosomal RNA
Source: RNAcentral
GGGAUCUUAAUAGGUCAUCCGGGUGUUGGAUAUCCCGGUUUAGUUGGAAGUAGGCGAUGGGUAGGCAAAUCCGCCCGUCAUAUACCGAGGCCAACGAUCGAGCCAGCUUGCUGGUGAAGUGACUGAACGAGGUUCCAGGAAAAGCCACUAAGCUUCAGCUAUACACGACCGUACCGCAAACCGACACUGGUGCGCGAGAUGAGUAUUCUAAGGCGCUUGAGAGAACUCAGGAGAAGGAACUCGGCAAAUUGACACCGUAACUUCGGAAGAAGGUGUGCCCUAUUAGUGUGAAGUGAACAACGGAGCAUGAAUGGGUUGCAAAAAAUCGGUGGCUGCGACUGUUUAUUAAAAACACAGCACUCUGCAAACACGAAAGUGGACGUAUAGGGUGUGACGCCUGCCCGGUGCUGGAAGAUUAAAUGAUGGGGUGCAAGCUCUUGAUUGAAGUCCCAGUAAACGGCGGCCGUAACAAUAACGGUCCUAAGGUAGCGAAAUUCCUUGUCGGGUAAGUUCCGACCUGCACGAAUGGCGUAACGAUGGCCACACUGUCUCCUCCUGAGACUCAGCGAAGUUGAAAUGUUUGUGAUGAUGCAAUCUCCCCGCGGAAAGACGGAAAGACCCCAUGAACCUUUACUGUAGCUUUGUAUUGGACUUUGAACAGAUCUGUGUAGGAUAGGUGGGAGGCUUUGAAGCAGGGUCGCUAGAUCUUGUGGAGCCAACGUUGAAAUACCACCCUGGUGUGUUUGAGGUUCUAACCUAGGUCCAUUAUCUGGAUCGGGGACAGUGCAUGGUAGGCAGUUUGACUGGGGCGGUCUCCUCCCAAAGCGUAACGGAGGAGUUCGAAGGUACGCUAGUUACGGUCGGACAUCGUGACGAUAGUGCAAUGGCAUAAGCGUGCUUAACUGCGAGACUGACAAGUCGAGCAGAUGCGAAAGCAGGACAUAGUGAUCCGGUGGUUCUGUAUGGAAGGGCCAUCGCUCAACGGAUAAAAGGUACUCUGGGGAUAACAGGCUGAUACCGCCCAAGAGUUCAUAUCGACGGCGGUGUUUGGCACCUCGAUGUCGGCUCAUCUCAUCCUGGGGCUGUAGCCGGUCCCAAGGGUAUGGCUGUUCGCCAUUUAAAGAGGUACGUGAGCUGGGUUUAAAACGUCGUGAGACAGUUUGGUCCCUAUCUUCCGUGGGCGCUGCAGAUUUGAGGAAGCCUGCUCCUAGUACGAGAGGACCGGAGUGGACACACCUCUGGUGUAUCGGUUGUCACGCCAGUGGCAUUGCCGAGUAGCUAAGUGUGGAAGAGAUAACCGCUGAAAGCAUCUAAGCGGGAAACUCGUUUCAAGAUGAGAUCUGCCGGGGCCUUGAGCCCCCUGAAGAGUCGUUCAAGACCAGGACGUUGAUAGGUCAGGUGUGGAAGCGCAGUAAUGCGUUAAGCUAACUGAUACUAAUUGCUCGUGCGGCUUGACCCG